Molecule: ribosomal RNA, 542 nt
Filed under: uncultured bacterium
Lineage: Bacteria
Description: bacterial SSU rRNA
Rfam family: Archaeal small subunit ribosomal RNA
Source: RNAcentral
ACGGAAUAGAUACCCGGGUAGUCCCAGCCGUAAACGAUGCUCGCUAGGUGUCAGGCAUGGCGCGACCGUGUCUGGUGCCGCAGGGAAGCCGUGAAGCGAGCCACCUGGGAAGUACGGCCGCAAGGCUGAAACUUAAAGGAAUUGGCGGGGGAGCACAACAACGGGUGGAGCCUGCGGUUUAAUUGGACUCAACGCCGGACAACUCACCGGGGGCGACAGCAAUAUGUAGGCCAAGCUGAAGACUUUGCCUGAAUCGCUGAGAGGAGGUGCAUGGCCGUCGCCAGUUCGUACUGUGAAGCAUCCUGUUAAGUCAGGCAACGAGCGAGACCCGUGCCCACUGUUACCAGCAUGUCCUUUGGGAUGAUGGGUACUCUGUGGGGACCGCCGGUGUCAAAUCGGAGGAAGGUGCGGGCCACGGUAGGUCAGUAUGCCCCGAAUCUCCCGGGCUGCACGCGGGCUACAAUGAAUGGGACAAUGGGUCCUUCCCUGAAAGGGUUGGUAAUCUCACAAACCCAUCCUUAGUUCGGAUUGAGGGCUGUAAC